Non-coding RNA from Pelobates cultripes (western spadefoot toad), 430 nucleotides. Lineage: Eukaryota; Metazoa; Chordata; Amphibia; Anura; Pelobatidae. The record is from the annotation of a GenBank genome assembly.
GCUGAAUCUCACGCCUCUGGUCUCUGAGCAGAAACUUUACUUGGGAACGUUACAGAGUUUCACUCCCGGCAGGCAACACUUUCCACGGUUAUUAUAAAAUCUGUGUCAUUUAUCUCAAAUGUUUUUAUUCUUUUUCCAUUUUGGGAUUUCAUUGAGUUAGUAUCUAGAAGUCAUGAAACAUGCACAAAAUAUCUUAUUUUACAGAAAUAUAAAAGCAGCAAAUGUUUAAAAAAAAUGAAGCAGAAAAUCAACUUAAAUACAAGAUAUAAAAGACAAAUCGCUUGCCUAGAACGAGAAACAUCGUUAAGAAAUCUGCAGAAAUCUCCGAAAGUGCCCCAAUCCCAUGUUCCCUGUUCUAUGAGUGAGUUAUUGCUCACUCUCCCUAUUAAAGUUUAAAACCCAAACAUUUGUGUUUUCUAUUUUUUUCUUC